UAAGGUAACGGCUUACCAAGGCGACGAUCAGUAGCCGACCUGAGAGGGUGACCGGCCACAUUGGGACUGAGACACGGCCCAGACUUCUACGGGAGGCAGCAGUGGGGAAUAUUGCACAAUGGAGGAAACUCUGAUGCAGCGACGCCGCGUGAAGGAAGAAGGUCUUCGGAUUGUAAACUUCUUUUGUCAGGGAACAGUAGAAGAGGGUACCUGACGAAUAAGCCACGGCUAACUAC
This 236-nucleotide ribosomal RNA is filed under the name uncultured bacterium. RNAcentral's name for it is "partial 16S ribosomal RNA". It matches the Rfam family "Bacterial small subunit ribosomal RNA", at positions 253 to 504 of the family's 1533-position model. The record is from RNAcentral.